GCAUGUGUGUGCGAUGUGUAUGUGUGGGGGCAUGUAUAGCAACUGCUUGGUGUUGCGAAGUUGGUUCGGCAAGCCUGAAUUGCUAGCGGGUGCGUUACACACGAUGCAGCUACGCUGCCUGGCACCUUCGGUAGUCUGGGUAUAUAAUGCGCGUGUGUAGUUAUCAGCAACACGCUUGGUCGGGUCUUAAGUCUUCCCGACGGUCCGCGAACCGACACAAUGCCGUACUGGCAGUCGGGGAGGCGCUACAGGCGGGCAGACAAGGAGGCACUUCUGCCUGAUCAGGGCAGGCGCCUCGCUAACUUCCCAGGGCCCCAAGUUCGGACCGCAGCUACCACCUCACCGGCAGUGCUGCCCAAUAACCCAAAUUACCAACACUCCCCCUCGGACCGAACUGGGUCCAAUAGCAAACCGCCAACUGACAGCCAACUGACAGGGGAAACAAACAAGGCCAAUCACCGGCCAUAAACGAAGAGAUAACUCCCCCUCAAUCUGAGCACCGUCUGAAGUCACCGCAAGUCACUGCACUAGGCCUCAGCCUUACUGCACGUGGCAGAACCCAGCACGGUCCCAUUCCUAACUAACCUCCCUGCUAACAUACCGCCGCAGCGGCAUCUGUCCUUGACAGAACCCUGCUCAAGUGCUGACGCCCAUCGCCGCGCGGCAGAAGAAGAACUUGGCCUCCGGCAGCGCCUUGGUCAGCGCGUCCGCAAUCAUCUGCUCCGUGGGGCAGUACUCCACAGCCACCUCGCCGCGCGCCACGCGCUCACGCACCAGGUGGUGCUGAAUGUCGAUGUGCUUCGACAGCGGCGAUGAAGCAAUGGGGUUGCGAGCCAGACUGAGGGCGCCCUGGCUGUCGCAGCGGAUGGCUACAGCACCGCUGCGCAGGCCCAGGUCUGACGCCAGCUUGCGCAGCCACAGCGCCUCCUUGGUCGCUGCGGCCGCGGCCUGGUACUCCGACUCCACAGAAGAGGCAGCGACCGUGCGCUGCUGCUGACUGCACCAGCUGACCACCGUCUUGCCCAGGGCAAAGAGGAAGGCGGUCUGCGAGCGGCGGGUAUUGGGGUCGCCGGCCCAGUCGGCAUCACAGUAGCCGACAAAGGAGCCAGCGUCAUAGCCCGCCGCCGCUCCGCCGCCGGCGCUGCUGCUGCCUGCGCCACCGCCGCCGCCAGAGGCGGAAGCGCUGAAGCGCAGGCCCAUGUCGACGGUGUGCUUGAGGUAGCGCAGCACUCCCGUCGCCAGCGCCAGAUGAGCCUUGGUCGGCGCCGCCAUGUGCCGCGCGAGCACGCUCAGCGCGUAGGCAAUGUCGGGCCGGGUGCUGACGGCGACGUAGUUCAGUCCGCCGAUCAGCGAGCGGUAGGGGCCGCCGUCAUCCAGCACAGGCUGCUGCUCGCUGGCGGCCAGCACACGCGUGCCAGCCGGCAGAGGCAGGCUGCGCGGCUUGGCAUCAGCCAUGCCGUGUCGCUGCAGCAGCUCGUUGACGUAGCGCCGCUGCUGCAGCAGGAUGUCGCCGGUGCUGGGGUCCCGCUUAAUCUCCAUCCCCAGAUAGGUGCUGGCCUCUCCCAGGUCACGCACCUCGAAGCACUUGCCAAUGGCGGACUUGACCGCCGCCAGCUGCACAGGGCAGCCAGCGGCAAUCAGCAGGUCGUCCACGUGCACCAGCACAUAGACCGGACCCGCCUCGUCGUGCCGCACAAAGAGUGCCGGAUCCGCCGAGGCUGGCGUGAAGCCCAGCCCGCCCAGCUCCUCGCUGAGCUUGCGGUACCAGCAGCGCGGUGCCUGCUUCAGUCCAUACACGGACUUUAGCAGGCGGCAUGCCAGCGGCACGCUGCGGUGGCUUGCGCCACCGCUGCCGCCGCCACCAGCGCCACCGCCGCCGCCAGUGUCGCCUCCGCCGCCAGUGUCGCCGCUGCUGCUGCCGCCGCUGACCUCAAACCCCUGCGGCUGCUGCAUCCAGAGCUCCUCAUCAAGGUCGCCGUUGAGGAAGGCGGUUUUGACGUCCAUCUGGUGCAGCGACAGGCCGCGUGCGGCGGCGAUGGCCAGAAUGGCCCGCAGCGAGACGUAGCGGCUGGUGGGCGCGAACACCUCGCUGUAGUCUAUGCCCUCGCGCUGGGCGAAGCCUUUGACUACCAGGCGCGCCUUGAAGCGCGGGGCGCCACCAGGCUGCGGCUUCAACUUGUACACCCAGCGGUUGGCCAGCAGACGCACACCCGGAGGCGGCGCCGCCAGCUCCCAGGUCUUGUUGUCGCGCUGGGACUCCAUCUCCUCCUCCAUAGCCUUGCGCCAGGCAGCCGCACGAGGCCCACUGCUGGCCUCAGCGUAGCUGCUGGGCUCGCCCACCCCCGCAGUCGUAGCAGUGCUGACGCCAUAGCUGUCCUCGUCAUCCGAGGGUGGCGCCAGCGGCGGCGUCUCGUCAUCGUCGCUGUCCUCAUCGAACAACUGAGCUGCUGCCGCUGCUGCAGCCGAGGCGGCGCUGUUACUGCUGUUGCUGUGACUUCCGCCGCCCGCCGCCGAGGCGAAAGCACUGAGCGGCGGCGUGAGCACAGGGCGUUGGCUGCGGGUGGCUGGCCGUGAGGGCGGGGCCACCGGCGCCGGAGAGGGCGCCGGCGGGUUGGCGACCGCUGGCGGGUUGGCGACCGCCGGCACUGCAGCACUGCUGUUGCUACCGAACGGCACGCCCGCCAGGCGCGACGCCGGUCCCCGCACGUCCUCAUCAAACCGCACGUCCCGGCUCACCACAACUUUGCCGCCGACCAUGACGCGAUACGCGGCAGAGUUGCGCUGCAGGCCCAGGUACGUGCCGACGUCGGCGCGCGGGCUGAGCUUGGAGCGCUGGUCGGCGGGCAGGGUGACGUAGACGCGGCAGCCGAAAGUGCGCAGGCUGGAGAUGUCCGGCUUGACGCCGGUGAGCGCCUCCCACGGCGUGCUACUGCAGCUGGAGGAGGGGCUCAGGUUGCGCAAGUGGCUGGCAUACGUGACAGCUUCAGGCCAGAAGCUGGAGGGGAGCGCAGCGUCAAACAGAAUGGCGCGCGUGCGGUCCAUCAGCGUGCGGUUGAGCCGCUCAGCGGCUCCGUUCUGCUGCGGCGUAUAAGGCGCGCUGAACUGCUGCACGGUACCGCGCUCGCGCAGCCACUGCUGCAGCUCCUCUGAACGGUAUUCACCACCGUUGUCGCUGCGGAGGUUGCGCAGCUUGCCGCCGCCAGGGUGGCAAUUUUCCAGCUGCACAAUCAUCUCCUGCAGCGCUUCACCAGCGUGUUCUCUGGUGGUGAGCAUCCGGACAGCUGACACCCCCGUGGCGUCAUCCAGCAGCGUGAUGAAGUAGCGAGAGCCACCGCGGCCCAUGAUAGGCAUAGGGCCGCACACAUCAGAAUGCGCAAGAGCCAGAGGCUGCUGCGGCUCGCUGCUGCUGUCCGGGAAGGGCGAAGAGGCUGCCUUUGCCUCGACGCACGUGCUGCACACUGACUCGGCUGCCUGGCUGAGAGCACUCAGGUCAACGUCAAGGCCAGUGACCAGGGAGCCGUUCACCAUCUGCAUCAGCGCAUGCCAGCCAACGUGGCCGAAACGCCGGUGCAGCCGGUGAGCAGCGCUCAGAGCAGUCACCGACGAGCUGGAGCUGCUGCUGACGGUGCCGCCGCCGCCCGAAGACGCGGCGGUGCCGUUGCUGCUGCUGCUUGCGCCGGAGCUGUUGAGGCUGCUGCUGGUGGUGCCGCCGCUGCCCGAGGGCGCGGCGGCGGAAGAAGGAAGAAAGCUGCUGUCGCUGCCAGUGGCAGCGGCGCCGCCGCCGCUCACAGGCGCGGCGGUGCCGCCGCCAAUCGCCGGCGGCGCCAUGGCGGGCGCCGCCAGCAGGACCGGCAGCAUAGUCACAGACAGCGGAUAUUGACCGUCACGCACGCGGCCGCUGAGAAUGGAGCGGCCAGCCAGCUCGACAGUCGCCGACUCCCCCUCGAACGCUACCUUAGCGCCGCUGGACGCCAGCCGGCGCACCGAUAGCAGGGAGAGGUGGGCGUCUGGCACGUACAGAACGCCCGUCACGUCAACGCGCUGCUGCCCAGAGAGCAUCCGGAGAGUCCCCGAUCCCCCGACCGGGCUGCUGCGUCCAUCACCCCACAGCACAUGACUCACUCUUGGGCGCACCACGAAGUCGUGGAGCAGGCGGCGGUGCGGCGUGAUGUGUGCGAAGGUGCCGGAGUCAAUCACCGGCACAUCGAAGGCGGCGGCGCUCGCAAAGCUGCCGCCGACGCUUCCUGACGCAUCAUCACUGCCGCCACCGCCCGCACUGGGGGACAGCAUGCUGCCUCUGCUCACAUCGCAGACGACGAGCACGCGGCCGCCGAGGCCCGCAGGCCCGGCUACGCCGCUGCUGCAACUGGAAACUCCUGCUCCAGUGCUGCUGCUGUUGCUACCGCCGAAGUCCCGGGUGACAGCGCGGUAGGUGUUGGACAGCAGGCUGCUGCCGGCGCCCGGGGGUGGCGCGGCGCUGCCGCUGUAGCUACUGCUGCUGAGGCCGUUGCCGGCCGAGCUGUAGCUGAAGGUGCUGGUGCUACUGCAGCCGCCGUGGUCCCCAAUCACGGAGGCGCUGGGCACGCCGUCAUCGGCCAUGCUGUAGCUGCUAAUGGCGCCGGAGCUCGCCGGCUCCGCGCCAAAGGUGUGCACGAUCAGACUGCUGCUGGGGUAGUCCUCAGCCCAGUCGUCAACACUGCUCACAACCAGCACAUGCGCGGGCCGGGAGGCGGCGGACCGGGCGCCACCCCUGGCACCCGAACCCCCGCCGCCGCCCUUGCCGCGCUUCUUGGCCCCAUCUCCGCUUCCGCUGCCGCCGCCGCCGCCGCCGCCGCCGCCGUGCUUCUUCUGCUGCUGCUGCUGCUGCUGCUGCUGCUGUAGCUGCACGGGCGAGCGAAUGGAGGCGCGCUGGAUGCCAGCGCUGACGUCGGCCUGGCGCACGGCGCAGUUGGGCUUGAUGUGCCCGGGCUGCUCGCAGUAGUGGCAGACAAUGCCGCCGCUGCUGCUGCUGCCGCCUGCGCCGCCGCCACCGCCAGCGUUACCGCCGCGGCUGCGGUUGACGUUGCCCACGUGUCCGCCGUUGGCCUGCCGGAAGCGCUUGGUCACCUCGUGCUGCAUGAGGUAGCCACGCAGCUCCGCAACAGUCUGCUGGGGCUGGGAGUUGCAGAUCUCAACCAGCACCUCAUACGCCGGCAGCGGCAGACCAUUCAACAGGCGCAGUCGCACGGCGGGCUCCUCCCAGGUGCCGCCGAGCGCGUAAAUCCUGUCGCGCAGGUCACUGGCACGCGCAAAGUAUUGCGACAUGUUCUCCCCUUCUUCCAGCUGGAAGCAGCUGCGCUCCAUGUCGCACUGCUGCAGCUUCUGAGCUGCAGAGGCCCGGAACAGCCCCUGAAUGUACGCCAGGGCGGUGACGGCAUCGGGGGCUUGCCACAGCUGCCGGGCAACGUUGGGCGUGCACGACGUGCGGAGCCAGCUCAGCGCCUGGCCGUUCUCGUCGGCCAGCUCGAGAGCAGUACGACCAGGUGGCGUCGAGGUAUACAAAUACACUCCCAGCGGAACCUUACGAGUCGUGAGGAAGUCAUAGAGCUGUAUGAGCCAAGUGAAAUAGUUCGCAGCAUCAUCUUGAAGCUGCUUGAACUUGACCAGUCCCGAGGACGAGUCAUCCAUCCUACCUAGCUAGCGAUAAUAAGGCUUGCCAACCGCGAGCGAAUUAACGACAAGCGGGGCUCAUAACCUGUUGCGAAGUUGGUUCGGCAAGCCUGAAUUGCUAGCGGGUGCGUUACACACGAUGCAGCUACGCUGCCUGGCACCUUCGGUAGUCUGGGUAUAUAAUGCGCGUGUGUAGUUAUCAGCAACACGCUUGGUCGGGUCUUAAGUCUUCCCGACGGUCCGCGAACCGACACAAUGCCGUACUGGCAGUCGGGGAGGCGCUACAGGCGGGCAGACAAGGAGGCACUUCUGCCUGAUCAGGGCAGGCGCCUCGCUAACUUCCCAGGGCCCCAAGUUCGGACCGCAGCUACCACCUCACCGGCAGUGCUGCCCAAUAACCCAAAUUACCAACACUUGGUUACAAGAUGUGUUCAUUGUGUUGGCACUAGAUACAGUAGGGAUUAAAGACGGGACGCUUGUGGGAUGUUAUGGGCGGCUGACCAGUUACGGUACCAAUGACUAAGCAAUAUGUGCUUGAGUGUGCGACGGGACAGUGUUGAGGCAAGUUGGUG
This 6221-nucleotide long non-coding RNA is filed under the name Chlamydomonas reinhardtii. RNAcentral describes it as "long non-coding RNA (CREI_LNC000300)". The record is from RNAcentral. Lineage: Eukaryota; Viridiplantae; Chlorophyta; Chlorophyceae; Chlamydomonadales; Chlamydomonadaceae.